GACGUAGGGCGCGAGCGUUGUCCGGAUUUACUGGGCGUAAAGAGCGCGCAGGCGGUCGAUCAAGUCGAGUGUGAAAGCCCCCGGCUCAACUGGGGAGGGUCAUUCGAUACUGAUCGACUCGAAGGCAGGAGAGGGUAGUGGAAUUCCCGGUGUAGUGGUGAAAUGCGUAGAUAUCGGGAGGAACACCAGUGGCGAAGGCGACUACCUGGCCUGUUCUUGACGCUGAGGCGCGAAAGCUAGGGGAGCAAACGGG
This 253-nucleotide ribosomal RNA is filed under the name uncultured bacterium. RNAcentral describes it as "partial 16S ribosomal RNA". It matches the Rfam family "Bacterial small subunit ribosomal RNA", at positions 524 to 776 of the family's 1533-position model. The record is from RNAcentral.